GUCAUGAAAUGAUAUACCCAAGCUCUUUAAGAUUUGUACUCAUGCACAAGACUCUCUGUGCUGGUGGUUCUGGCUCUGUUUGCAUGUUUGUGUGUGCAGUGGGAAGCAGCCCACAGUGACUGUCCCCAGCAGCAUUUUUUACUUCAAGAUGGAGUAUCCUGGGAAGGACAGUGCUUCCUGCUUCAUGGCCCCACUGAGGAACCAGAGCAUGUGACAAGAGCUGUUCCCUGAGCUGGGCUUUCAUCAGUGACCCCAACACAGGGGCACCAUUAGCAACACAUCCAAGCCUAAGCUGGGGCUCCCCUCAACAAGAAGCACCUGCCUGCUUAUGAACCCUACGACUUACAGCUGCAAGCUGAUCAUCUGUGGUAGGUCAGGUGUGCAGCCACUGGGAUUUGCUGGGGGUGAUUCCCUCCAGGCUGAGGAGCCAUGAGAUUUUGUGUCUGAAUGCAGUUCACACCCUGCUGUUUUCCAGGACAAGUGCACUUGCUGGGACUGGCACUGUGGAUCACGCUCCUCUGGGCUCUCUCCCUUGUCAACAGAGGAAGGGAUUGCUCAGGCUGUAGGUGCUGAAGCUGCAAGGGCCACAUUGUAGGAACUUACCUUCAUACCCAAAAAAGCCAGACUCAGUCUUCCUUUGAAGCCACUGAGAUUUAUCUUCAGUUGUUUCAAGGCAGCCUUGUGUCCCUUAAAAUGGUUUAUUUUGGCCAGCAGGCCUCAUGAAUUCCCUAAAUGGCUCAGAAGCAAACAUGGCCAGUUCUCAGUCCCUAACUAGGCUUGUUCUGCAUCCAUGGCAUACUUAGCACUUCCAAGCAGUCCAUGGAUGCAUUCUGACAAUAGCCUUGUGCUUUUUUGGGGUUUUUUUUGUUUGUUUGUUUUUUUUUUUUUCACAGACAUUGCACUGGGUACAUCUGUUCUCUUCCUUUGUAAAAUGGAUGGAUUUUGCCAACAUUGUAUGACAGCUAGUAAGGUUUCCAAAACAAAAAGAGGAAGAAAAUCUGACAUUUCAUAUUCCACUCUCUCUUCCCUCUUUUGUUGAAACCAGUGAAGUUUUAAAUCAGGUUGUAACACAGAGCUUGGUUCAAAUUGGUUGUGUGAGCAUUGACUCUUCUAGGUGUGAUGAGGUUUUACAAACAUGUUUUAGAGACAGGCCCUGGUGCCUCAGACCUGUUAGUGUCCUCUUCAAGGGGACAAGAGAGAAAAGCUGCCAGGCACAGCUUGAAAUGAAACUGAUACAGCACCAAUAAUGAGGGACUAUAUUUGGAAAGAUUUUUCAGGGUUAUUUUUGUCUGAGAUCAUUACUUCUGGACAGCCUGCUGACAACUGCUGAGCACACAAACACAUCCCACCCUGUGUUUGCUUCUCUCUGCUAAUGUGGAAGUAGGUCACAGGGGGUCAGCAGAGGGAAAGGAUGCUCACACUGGGUUUCCUGCUCUGAUUUUCAAACUGAUCUGUGUUUGUGUGUACAAUACGUGCAACACUUCUUCACUGAAACCAGCAACUGCCCAAAAGACUGUGAGCAAUUCUUCACCAUUUUUCUAAUAAUUCCUGUUGUUACCAUGUGUCCCACUUCCCAUGCACCCUGAUAAACUCCUCCCUGAAGCCACAGCUGGAGCACACCUUCCUUGUCCCUAAAAUCAGUGGGAGCCUUCUCUGUGUCAGCCAGGCAGAGGCAAGGAAUGCUGCCAGCUCUCAGCCCCCUCAGGGAAGGCAGACAGGCCUGAGGGGCAGGAGAACAGUUCCCUAUCCCCUCAGAUCUGCUUGCUGGGCAGAACUUACCUUCUGCCCUCCCACACUGAGCUUGUUGAGGUGAGCACUGCUACAAAAGGAACACACCUCUUCAAAGUUAGUCAAAGCAGCCUGUUUACAGCAGAGCUGGCGUGGGAGUAGGGCUUGUAAAAGCACUGUAGGGGUGAGGUGCUGAUUUAUAGCCAGGUUCCUCAAUGGGAAUCCAUCUCUGAGGGCUCCUGGGGCUCCUCCUUGUCUUGACCUGGGCAGCUUCUGGGUAGGGUCUCUCUGCUGCCAGGUAUUUGCAGCUGAGGUGAGAAAUCAGGAGUCAGAGAGUGUAAAAUGGACUUUAGCAGAUAAGGCAUUCCUGUCAAAUCCAGCUCAACUGCAGAUUUAUUUUUAUUAUUUUAGGAUCUAUAUUCUUGAUAAUUGUAGUUCUGGAAGAGGGAUAGUUACUGCCUGGAGUUGGGCAUUGUAGGCUGGAGGGCAUCAUGCCUCAAUGUGGAAACAUGCACUCUUCAUUAGGACACGAGCCCCUUCAGACCAGGACUUAAAAGAUUCUCUUUAGGGACAUUUUUCAGAGACUUUCAGUUGUCUUUACCUGCUGACAGGCUGUCCUAGGGGAAAGGAGUAAGGGCUGACCUAAAGGCUGAGCAAAUCUGCUGAUUUGAACAACUGUGAAGGAGUAGCUGAUUUCCGUGUUGAUUCCACAGGGACUAAAGUUCUAAUUCAAUUCCUCUUAAUAUAUUGUGGUGGAUUUACCUCAGCUGGACACCUGGUGCAGACCAAAGCUAUUUUAUCACUACCCUCCCACAGCUGGGUAGGAGACAGAAAAUUUAACAAAAGGCUUGUGAAGCAAGGUAAGGAUAGAGAGAUCACUCACCAAUUACCAUCACAGGCAAAACAAACUCAGCUUGGGGAAUUUAAUUUAUUACCGAUCAAAUCAGAGUCGGGUAAGGAAAGUAAACACCUAAAUUUUAAAACCUCUUUCCCCUACUCCUCUCUUCUUCCUGGGCUUAGCUUUAUUUCAGAAUUCUUUACCUCCUUUACCCACUGGUGCAGGUGGAUGGGGAAUGGGGGCUCUGGUCAGUUCAUCAUGACUCAUCUUUGGCCCUCUUUCCUCCCCUCUCACAUAUUCUCACUCCUCUCUUUGGCUGCAGUUGCUGUUGCACUUUUCUUCCCCUUCUCAAUAGUGUUGACACAGACACUUGGACCCAUUGCUUCUAUUGGACACAGGGAAAGCUCCAGCAGCCUCUCACAGAAGCCACCCCUGCAGUCCCCUCCCUGCCACCAAAGCCUUGUCACACAAACCAAACACUUAUGUACUUUUCUAUUUCUUUUAUUUAAUUGCUUUAACUCCUUUUCUUAGCUGUGUUUUUCUUAGCUGAGUAUUAGCCCUUUUCAUAAUAUUUACAAAAACAAAUAGGGCACUGUACCACCUCAGUGAAACACAGCCGCAGCUCUGAUGCUGUUGUAGCUCGGAGGGGGUGAAUAUAGUUUUCCUUAGGCUGGGAGGCAGCAGGUUGCAAAGAACACAAGGAGUAUUUGACCCAAAGUGAAUUAUUCAGAACAGUGCUGAAGUGAACAAGGGGAAAUGGGAGUGAAAAUGAGAACUUCCUAAAUUUGAACUGUCACUUCCUACGAAAACUACCAGACAACUUUUUCCUUUACUCAGUGGAAAGCCUUAUGGAGCUUUCAAACCUUUAAAAAUUUUACAAAACUUUUUAUCCAUAACUUUGUGAGACUUACACUCAAAACUUAGAGUUGACUGCACUAAUUAUGGCACUUAGUCUUUUUCUUUUUCUUAAAAAAAAGAUGACCACAGGGACAGGAAGUUUGCAGAAGUUGAAACACAAGAUAUAAUUAGUGGAACUAACUGUGCCUGGUCUGGCAUGCAGAACAGCAUUGUUGUGGCUGUGUAGUUUGUCUUCAUGUGGCUCAAAAUGCAGCUGCCCUUGGCUUCUGUGAAGGUCAUUUAGACCAGGUGGUAGAGUGGGGCUCCUGCUCAUCAGGGGCACUUGCAGUGUUUCCAUCUUCCUUCCCUCUAAGUGAUUUUGUACAGUAGGAUGUUAAAGGUGGUAUUUCCAGUACCCUCUGCUAAUGUAUCUUAAUGGUAAUAA
Long non-coding RNA from Taeniopygia guttata (zebra finch), 3848 nucleotides. NCBI's taxonomy places the organism in Eukaryota, Metazoa, Chordata, Aves, Passeriformes, Estrildidae. The record is from Ensembl.